Molecule: non-coding RNA, 99 nt
Submitted as: unclassified sequences
Source: Rfam
GCGGGACGAACUGAGCAGGCAGUGUUUCUUCCGGGAAACAUGUGGCUGGGCCGUGGAAACGGCAGCAGAAGGAGCAUCAUGCGCAUCUGCGGGACAGAG